Molecule: ribosomal RNA, 374 nt
Filed under: uncultured bacterium
Lineage: Bacteria
Description: bacterial SSU rRNA
Rfam family: Bacterial small subunit ribosomal RNA
Source: RNAcentral
AGAGUUUGAUCAUGGCUCAGGAUGAACGCUGGCGGUAUGCCUAACACAUGCAAGUCGUACGAGAGUUUUUAACUCUAGUGGCGGACGGGUGAGUAACACGUAAGAAUUUACCUUCAGGAGGGGGAUAACAAUUGGAAACAAAUGCUAAUACCCCAUAUGCUUUCGAGUGAAAUGGAUUUAUAUUUAUCCNCCUAAAGAGAAGCUUGCGUCUGAUUAGCUUGUUGGUAAGGUAAAAGCUUACCAAGGCGACGAUCAGUAUCUGGUUUGAGAGGACGAUCAGACACACUGGAACUGAGACACGGUCCAGACUCCUACGGGAGGCAGCAGUGGGGAAUUUUCCGCAAUGGGCGAAAGCCUGACGGAGCAAUACCGCG